This 497-nucleotide ribosomal RNA is filed under the name uncultured bacterium. RNAcentral's name for it is "partial 16S ribosomal RNA". It matches the Rfam family "Bacterial small subunit ribosomal RNA", at positions 28 to 507 of the family's 1533-position model. The record is from RNAcentral.
GAUGAACGCUGGCGGCGUGCCUAAUACAUGCAAGUCGAGCGAACAGAUAAGGAGCUUGCUCCUUUGACGUUAGCGGCGGACGGGUGAGUAACACGUGGAUAACCUACCUAUAAGACUGGGAUAACUUCGGGAAACCGGAGCUAAUACCGGAUAACAUAUUGAACCGCAUGGUUCAAUAGUGAAAGGCGGCUUUGCUGUCACUUAUAGAUGGAUCCGCGCCGUAUUAGCUAGUUGGUAAGGUAACGACUCACCAAGGCAACGAUACGUAGCCGACCUGAGAGGGUGAUCGGCCACACUGGAACUGAGACACGGUCCAGACUCCUACGGGAGGCAGCAGUAGGGAAUCUUCCGCAAUGGGCGAAAGCCUGACGGAGCAACGCCGCGUGAGUGAUGAAGGUCUUCGGAUCGUAAAACUCUGUUAUCAGGGAAGAACAAAUGUGUAAGUAACUGUGCACAUCUUGACGGUACCUGAUCAGAAAGCCACGGCUAACUACGUG